RNAcentral lists this ribosomal RNA (481 nucleotides) under uncultured bacterium. RNAcentral's name for it is "partial 16S ribosomal RNA". It matches the Rfam family "Bacterial small subunit ribosomal RNA", at positions 28 to 507 of the family's 1533-position model. The record is from RNAcentral.
GAUGAACGCUGGCGGCGUGCUUAACACAUGCCAGUCGAACGAAGCACUUUAUUUGAUUUCCUUCGGGACUGAUUAUUUUGUGACUGAGUGGCGGACGGGUGAGUAACGCGUGGGUAACCUGCCUUGUACAGGGGGAUAACAGUUGGAAACGGCUGCUAAUACCGCAUAAGCGCACAGCAUCGCAUGAUGCAGUGUGAAAAACUCCGGUGGUAUAAGAUGGACCCGCGUUGGAUUAGCUAGUUGGUGAGGUAACGGCCCACCAAGGCGACGAUCCAUAGCCGACCUGAGAGGGUGACCGGCCACAUUGGGACUGAGACACGGCCCAAACUCCUACGGGAGGCAGCAGUGGGGAAUAUUGCACAAUGGGCGAAAGCCUGAUGCAGCGACGCCGCGUGAGCGAAGAAGUAUUUCGGUAUGUAAAGCUCUAUCAUCAGGGAAGAUAAUGACGGUACCUGACUAAGAAGCACCGGCUAAAUACGUG